Danio aesculapii is the source of this 195-nucleotide long non-coding RNA. RefSeq lists it as uncharacterized. The record is from RefSeq and is a predicted model, not a curated record. NCBI's taxonomy places the organism in Eukaryota, Metazoa, Chordata, Actinopteri, Cypriniformes, Danionidae. The transcript is spliced from 3 exons.
UGGUCCAGCAGAAGCAUGUGGUCAGACAUUGACUGUAAUGAUGGACAUCUGCUGAGUGACAGAAUUAAUUUAGAACACUUUAUAGUGUGAUUUCUGGACCAACACAAGAUCCAUUUCCCCAUUCUCUGUUGAUUCUGUCACUGCUGAUACACAAAUCAUCCACCAGUGGGCACAACAUUGACACAUUGAUCAGGU